RNAcentral lists this ribosomal RNA (233 nucleotides) under Salmonella enterica subsp. enterica serovar Typhimurium. Its description in RNAcentral is "partial 23S ribosomal RNA". It matches the Rfam family "Bacterial large subunit ribosomal RNA", at positions 579 to 814 of the family's 2925-position model. Lineage: Bacteria; Pseudomonadati; Pseudomonadota; Gammaproteobacteria; Enterobacterales; Enterobacteriaceae. The record is from RNAcentral.
ACAGGUUUACCUGUGUGACUGCGUACCUUUUGUAUAAUGGGUCAGCGACUUAUAUUCUGUAGCAAGGUUAACCGUAUAGGGGAGCCGUAGGGAAACCGAGUCUUAACCGGGCGUUAAGUUGCAGGGUAUAGACCCGAAACCCGGUGAUCUAGCCAUGGGCAGGUUGAAGGUUGGGUAACACUAACUGGAGGACCGAACCGACUAAUGUUGAAAAAUUAGCGGAUGACCUGUGG